AUGACACGAGUCCUAAUGGACGGUGGCAGCAGCCUCAACCUGCUCUAUCAGGAUACAGUACGCAAAAUGGGCAUUAAUCCCUCACGAAUCAAGCCCACGAUAACUACCUUUAAAGGAGUCAUACCAGGCGUAGAGGCCCGUUGUACGGGCUCAAUCACGCUGGAGGUGGUCUUCGGUUCCCCGGAUAACUUCCGAAGCGAAGAGCUAAUUUUGAUAUCGUCCCCUUCCGCAGCGGCUACCACGCACUGCUCGGACGAACCGCGUUUGCUAGAUUCAACGCGGUGCCACAUUAUGCUUAUCUCAAGCUCAAGAUGCCCGGUCCACGCGGCGUCAUUACAGUAA
RNAcentral lists this ribosomal RNA (342 nucleotides) under Triticum aestivum (bread wheat). RNAcentral describes it as "partial small subunit ribosomal RNA". Lineage: Eukaryota; Viridiplantae; Streptophyta; Magnoliopsida; Poales; Poaceae. The record is from RNAcentral.